RNAcentral lists this transfer RNA (83 nucleotides) under Anaerolineae bacterium. RNAcentral describes it as "tRNA-Ser". It matches the Rfam family "tRNA". Rfam says of the family: Transfer RNA (tRNA) molecules are approximately 80 nucleotides in length. Their secondary structure includes four short double-helical elements and three loops (D, anti-codon, and T loops). Further hydrogen bonds mediate the characteristic L-shaped molecular structure. tRNAs have two regions of fundamental functional importance: the anti-codon, which is responsible for specific mRNA codon recognition, and the 3' end, to which the tRNAs corresponding amino acid is attached (by aminoacyl-tRNA synthetases). tRNAs cope with the degeneracy of the genetic code in two manners: having more than one tRNA (with a specific anti-codon) for a particular amino acid; and 'wobble' base-pairing, i.e. permitting non-standard base-pairing at the 3rd anti-codon position. The record is from RNAcentral. Lineage: Bacteria; Bacillati; Chloroflexota; Anaerolineae.
GGAGAAGUGGCUACGUGGCAUAGCAACUCGUCCCGAAAACGAGAGACCUGCAAAGGUCGUGGGUUCGACUCCCGCCUUCUCCU